AACGAACGCUGGCGGCAUGCCUAACACAUGCAAGUCGAACGAGACCUCCGGGUCUAGUGGCGCACGGGUGCGUAACGCGUGGGAACCUGCCCUUAGGUUCGGAAUAACUCCCCGAAAGGGGUGCUAAUACCGGAUAAUGUCUUCGGACCAAAGAUUUAUCGCCUUUGGAUGGGCCCGCGUUGGAUUAGCUAGUUGGUAGGGUAAAAGCCUACCAAGGCGACGAUCCAUAGCUGGUCUGAGAGGCUGAUCAGCCACACUGGGACUGGGACGCGGCCCGGAAUCCUACGGAAGGGAGGAGUGGGGGAUAUUGGACAAUCGGGGGAGGCAUGAUCCAGCUAGGCCGCGUGAGUGAUGAAGGCCGUAGAGUUGUAAAGCUCUUUUACCCGGGAUGGUAAUGACGGUACCGAAAGAAUAAGCUCCGGCUAACUCCGUG
Molecule: ribosomal RNA, 433 nt
Filed under: uncultured bacterium
Lineage: Bacteria
Description: partial 16S ribosomal RNA
Rfam family: Bacterial small subunit ribosomal RNA
Source: RNAcentral